CUUUAAGAGUUCUAGCCCCUCGAACUUGACUAGCCCUGUAUUAGUCAGAUUUCUCCAAAAACCUGACUUGAUCCUCUUAGAUCUUCCUUUAAACUUUUGAUUCUCUUUCUUAAGGACCCUCAUAACCCUUGUUUAGAUCAGAUAAGGCUUUGUCUUAAAUUUCAAAUCCUUGUCCUAAAUCUAAGAUAGGUUGUAAGAAAGAAGGGAGAGCAACGGAGAGAAAUUGGAAAGUCAAUCUGAAUUACAUCGGACACCCAGCACUCAGGCCU
RNAcentral lists this long non-coding RNA (269 nucleotides) under Elaeis guineensis (African oil palm). RNAcentral describes it as "long non-coding RNA (EGUI_LNC065214)". The record is from RNAcentral. Lineage: Eukaryota; Viridiplantae; Streptophyta; Magnoliopsida; Arecales; Arecaceae.